UUGCUUAUAUUGGCAGCAGAUUGACUAAAAUUGGAAUGAUGCAGAGAUUAACAUGGCUCUUGCACAAGGAUGAUACACAAAUUCAUUAAACAUUCCAUAUGUUU
This is a small nuclear RNA of Prolemur simus (greater bamboo lemur), 104 nucleotides long. The record is from Ensembl. Lineage: Eukaryota; Metazoa; Chordata; Mammalia; Primates; Lemuridae.